UAACAAAAGACCAUACCAGAUUAGAUAAAAAUGGAAUGAUACUGCUCAAGUUUCUAAAAGACUUUUAGACCUUUCUAUGAUCAAGUAACAGGCUUAGAAAGCAACUACAUUACUUUAGGGUCUUGGAUUUCGAGAUUGAUUCCAUGAUCAUCCUGUGAGACUUCUGGGGGUCCUGAGAUGGCUGCUCUGGCCUCCUGGAUGAGUAAGACAUGGGACCAAGUCACUCUCAUGAUCUCAGCUGAUGAGUCAACGCCCAGAAGCAGAAGCAACUCAGAAGCAGAAAUAGCAGCUAAACACAGAAGCAUGAGCGAACC
Zalophus californianus (California sea lion) is the source of this 314-nucleotide long non-coding RNA. RefSeq lists it as uncharacterized. The record is from RefSeq and is a predicted model, not a curated record. The transcript has 3 exons. NCBI's taxonomy places the organism in Eukaryota, Metazoa, Chordata, Mammalia, Carnivora, Otariidae.